This 253-nucleotide ribosomal RNA is filed under the name uncultured bacterium. RNAcentral describes it as "partial 16S ribosomal RNA". It matches the Rfam family "Bacterial small subunit ribosomal RNA", at positions 524 to 776 of the family's 1533-position model. The record is from RNAcentral.
UACGAAGGGGGCUAGCGCUGCUCGGAAUCACUGGGCGUAAAGGGUGCGUAGGCGGGUCUUUAAGUCAGGGGUGAAAUCCUGGAGCUCAACUCCAGAACUGCCUUUGAUACUGAGGAUCUUGAGUUCGGGAGAGGUGAGUGGAACUGCGAGUGUAGAGGUGAAAUUCGUAGAUACUCGCAAGAACACCAGUGGCGAAGGCGGCUCACUGGCCCGAUACUGACGCUGAGGCACGAAAGCGUGGGGAGCAAACAGG